GAUUAGCCCGCGUUAGGGAUUGCAGUGAAAAUCCUUUUUGUGAGGCACGAGCAAAAAGAUUGUAACGGAAAGCCCGACCCUCG
Molecule: small RNA, 83 nt
Filed under: Algibacter luteus
Lineage: Bacteria; Pseudomonadati; Bacteroidota; Flavobacteriia; Flavobacteriales; Flavobacteriaceae
Description: Arenitalea lutea Flavo-1 RNA
Rfam family: Flavo-1 RNA
Source: Rfam by way of RNAcentral